CCCUAUGGGGUGCAGCAGGCGCUCGCGAUGCGAUGAAAGCCAUCCUUGAAACGAUUGAAAAAGAUGCCAUUACUGGUGUGAUCGUCACCCAGACCGGAUGCAUCGGUCUAUGCGAAAAAGAACCGAUUGUGCAGGUGAUCGUUGGCGAGCAACCCAAAGUGACCUACGGAAAAGUAACCCCUGAAGUUGCCCGAAAGAUCGUUAAAGAACAUGUUGUGGAUGGAAAAGCAGUUACCAGCAACGUGAUUAAUAUCUAACAAAUCAAAAUUUACAAAAGGCCGAAUGUUAUGAAGUAUUACCGUUCACAUGUGUUAGUUUGCGUAGAUCCAGAAUGUUUAAAAAAGGGCGCUCAUGAAGUCAUGGACGCGCUGCAGGAUGAAUUGGCGGGGGAGCC
This 394-nucleotide ribosomal RNA is filed under the name uncultured prokaryote. RNAcentral describes it as "partial 16S ribosomal RNA". The record is from RNAcentral.